CGUGUAGGCGGCUGGGUAAGUUGGACGUGAAAGCUCCUGGCUCAACUGGGAGAGGUCGUUCAAAACUGCCCGGCUAGAGGGCGACAGAGGGAGGUGGAAUUCCCGGUGUAGUGGUGAAAUGCGUAGAUAUCGGGAGGAACACCAGUGGCGAAGGCGGCCUCCUGGGUCGGCCCCUCGACGCUCAGACGCGAAAGCUAGGGAGCGAACG
RNAcentral lists this ribosomal RNA (208 nucleotides) under uncultured bacterium. RNAcentral describes it as "partial 16S ribosomal RNA". It matches the Rfam family "Bacterial small subunit ribosomal RNA", at positions 568 to 774 of the family's 1533-position model. The record is from RNAcentral.